RNAcentral lists this long non-coding RNA (682 nucleotides) under Marmota monax (woodchuck). The record is from RNAcentral. Lineage: Eukaryota; Metazoa; Chordata; Mammalia; Rodentia; Sciuridae.
UCAGCGUGGACAAGUCAGAGAAAAGUCCCCGGAGAGACCCCACACUCCUGUCAUUCUUAAACAGGAGCCUUCUGUCCUAACGAGGCCAGGCCGGGCUGUAGCUUGUGCGCCACACGCAGAUGUUGUAGACCCAGACAGCAAAACAAGGUCUGCCUUCAAGAAAACUGUUUUGUCAUAGCCCUGGGUUUUACCAGAGCCCAGCUGACCAGGGAGGAGGGAAAUAUCCACUUCCAGACCCCUGUAGCCAUCUUUUCCCACCUAAGGCAGAGGACCACAUUGAGAAGCACUGGUGAGGUUCACAGGGACACAGGCUCACCAGAGACUGAGACCCAGUCAUAGGGCAGCAGAUAUCGCCUCCCCCAAAUCCUUACCACAUCCCUGAAGGCCUAUUUCCUGUGCAAAAUGAGGCAGCAUUAGAUCCAGGCUCAGAUAUAACAGGGUGUUAGAAUUAGCAGACCAGGAAUAUUUACAAACUAUGGUGGGUAUGCUGCUAUGGUUUGGACAAGUGUCCCCCUGUGACAAAGGUUUGGGCCCCAGGGCAUUGGGGGUGGUAGAAUCUUUGAGAGGUAGGCCCCCCGAGGAAGUUCUUAGGUCACUGGGCUAUGCCCCUGAAAUGGGUUGUAGGAGCCCAGUCUCAGUCUUUCUCUGCUUCCUGGCUCACGAUGCAAGUGGUUUGCUUUGC